Molecule: long non-coding RNA, 970 nt
Organism: Rosa chinensis
Lineage: Eukaryota; Viridiplantae; Streptophyta; Magnoliopsida; Rosales; Rosaceae
Exons: 2
Source: RefSeq, a predicted model, not a curated record
UGUAAAGAAUUGGGGAGAACGAAGAGGAGAGAAGGAAAGGAGAAGAGAGAAAAAGUCUGGAACACUCCUCAUGACUUGCGUUUUUCUCUGUCGGUCUCUCAUCUUGCUCCACCGUACAUCACUUCCGAACCACCAUCACCUCUACGCGAAAAUGUCAUCAAACACCAUGCAUGCUUGUUCAGGCAAGAUCUCGAAAAUUGGAGAUGCAUAGUUUGUUUCUUCUCGGAUUGCAGAACUAGAAUUGGGUAAUUGUUUCUGGUUACCUAAUUUCAUUUUAAUGGCUAUCAAGAAAUGUAUGUGCUACCAACUAUAGGGGGGAAACGCAAUAUGCAUUCCUUUGUGUAAUUGUAUAAUGGUAGAGUGAAGCCUAAAAGUCUGCAUAUUAUGGUCAAAUCGGGAAGCAACACUACUCUUCUUCUAUAUGGUACCAGUGGAAUUUAGUGGAAGGGUACUAUGGAGAGGUGAACUCUGUUUCUGAGCUCAUGAUGUUUGUUUAUAACUUUAUAUGCAUGAAUUUCUGAUAGUGCCCUGUCAAUACAGCAAAAGAAACUUUUUGUUUUGAAUUCGGGGUUUAUUGAUUACUUGAUAGCAGAUAAGAUGGCCCAGGCCCCUCUGCUCUGCUAGGAUUAAGAGUGGGAUUUCUAUGGUUUUCAACUAAUGUUGUGGAUUUUUAACACUGAUAAUGUGAGAGCCCAAGCUCCAGAGGUAUACUCUGUGCUUGUUUUUAGAAGCAAGGUGUUAUUAUUUUCAUAUCUGGAAUGGCAAAUGCAAAGAAAAGGAUGGUAAUUGUUUUGGUGAAUCAACUUGAGUGCAUCUUAAUUAUAGGGAGGGGAUAAUGGUUGAAUUUUACUUUGGCUGGUCCAUGACUCCAAUAUCAUUUUUCUAUUUACCUCACCUUUGAAGUCGCAGUAACUUUCUUUGUAAAUAUGAUGUGAAUUUGUUUUGUUUCCCAACUUGAGAAAUUUGAAAU